This 429-nucleotide ribosomal RNA is filed under the name Chloroflexota bacterium. RNAcentral describes it as "Chloroflexi bacterium partial 16S ribosomal RNA". It matches the Rfam family "Bacterial small subunit ribosomal RNA", at positions 355 to 776 of the family's 1533-position model. The record is from RNAcentral. Lineage: Bacteria; Bacillati; Chloroflexota.
UAGGGAAUCUUCGGCAAUGGACGAAAGUCUGACCGAGCAACGCCGCGUGAGUGAAGAAGGUUUUCGGAUCGUAAAACUCUGUUGUUAGAGAAGAACAAGGACGUUAGUAACUGAACGUCCCCUGACGGUAUCUAACCAGAAAGCCACGGCUAACUACGUGCCAGCAGCCGCGGUAAUACGUAGGUGGCAAGCGUUGUCCGGAUUUAUUGGUCAUAAAGCGAGCGCAGGCGGUUUCUUAAGUCUGAUGUGAAAGCCCCCGGCUCAACCGGGGAGGGUCAUUGGAAACUGGGAGACUUGAGUGCAGAAGAGGAGAGUGGAAUUCCAUGUGUAGCGGUGAAAUGCGUAGAUAUAUGGAGGAACACCAGUGGCGAAGGCGGCUCUCUGGUCUGUAACUGACGCUGAGGCUCGAAAGCGUGGGGAGCAAACAGG